AUUCAUUAAAGUAGUCCUGGCAGGAUCACCUCCCACUGGUUAGAUGACUGUCACGUCCGGUGUCUGAUAAGUCAGCGGUUCAGAAUGACAUUCUUUAACAGUUGUCAUUCAAAUCCAUGUCUGUGCUGUGCUUCAUAGACUUAUAGAAUUUCCGAAUAUCAUGACCUUUUUAAAGAAAGCAUGUUUUACUUUCUUUUUCUCUUUCCCAUUUCUGAUUUCCCCCCAAAACUAUUCAUUGUAUUCUUUUAUCUUUUAAUACCAGCUAGUUGUACUUUAUUCCAUUUAGUCAUCAUCAUUUCUUUUGGCAUCUAAUAACUAAUGGAAAUGGACUUGUGUGUGUGUUUUUACAAAGCUAUGUCUUGUUGGAUGUCCCCCUAAAUGCCAGAACAGUCGUACGUUUUUAGAUGGAAUAAUGCAUAAUGACAUGUGAUUUGUCUUAGGAAAUUUCACUUUGCCAAUUUCACUUUUGAAUCUUGCUGGGAUUUCUUCUUCAGAAAUUACAGCUUUUUUCAUAUUUCUGGUUUCAAGAUCUUAGGGUAGUUUGCUCUCCACUCCCGAACAUAGUAUUCUGGGUUGGGUCCUUGGAUGUGGCUGUGUGGCCCUCCAGUGCUGAGUUGAUUUCUGGCCAUGUAGCCCACCUCUGCUAUGGAAAUCGGUGCUGUGACAUCAUAAUACUUAGGGAAAGAGACCCUAGGUGCUGUCCAAGACUGUGGACAGUGUCAUACUGAGCAUAUUUUCGUGCAAAGCUGCCUCAUCAUCUUACAGAGCAUCGUUUUACAGGGAGUUUGAGAAAGUAGAGAAAACAGUUAUUGAUGUUCUCAUAUAAAUUAUCAGCAGGGAUGACCUUACUGGGGAAAAGAAGCGCUUGCCAAGCCGAGGAUUUCUCUACCCUUCAGUGCCCUCGGACAGCCUGGCCAACUGUGUCCUUGCUUUACCUCCACGCCAACCACCCGUUUCACACCAUGUUCCCUAACUGAAU
Molecule: long non-coding RNA, 979 nt
Filed under: Fukomys damarensis (Damara mole-rat)
Lineage: Eukaryota; Metazoa; Chordata; Mammalia; Rodentia; Bathyergidae
Description: lncRNA (ENSFDAG00000026462.1)
Source: RNAcentral